AAUUUAAGCAUAUUAUUAAGCGGAGGAAGAGAAACUAACUAGGAUUCCCCCAGUAAGGGCGACUGAAGCGGGAAGAGCUCAGGAUGUGAAUCGGCGCCCAGUGCGCCGAAUUGUGGUCUGUAGACGGUGACGUUACCCCCCGCCGGGCCAAGUCCCUUGGAACAGGGCAGCGUAGAGGGUGAGACUCCCGUAUGCCCGGUGGGAUAAGUCUCCUGUCAAAGAGUCGAGUUGUUUGGGAUUGCAGCUCAAAGCGGGUGGUAAAUUCCAUCUAAAGCUAAAUACCGGUGGGAGACCGAUAGCGUACAAGUACCGUGAGGGAAAGAUGCAAAGAACUUUGAAAAGAGAGUUAAAGAGUACCUGAAAUUGCUGAAAGGGAAGCGAAGGAAACCAGUGCCAGCUUGGUCAUACUUCCCUGGCCGCUCGCGGCUUGGGCGCUGUGGCCGGCGUCUGUUUGGUUUGGUUACGGCUGGCGGAAGAGCUGCGGGGGACUUUGACCCACCGCGUCGCUAGCGCCGGCCCUGACUGAGCCAGACGAAAUGGUUUUCUUUACCCCGUCUUGAAACACGGACCAAGGAGUCUAACAUAUGUGCGAGUACAGGGGUGACAAACCCCCGUGCGCAAUGAAAGUGACAGUGGUUGGAAUAGCAAUUGCACAAUCCGCCGGCCUCAAUCCCACGGGAGAACGGUCUGAGUGUGAGCACACAUGUUGGGACCCGAAAGAUGGUGAACUAUGCCUGAAUAGGGUGAAGCCAGGGGAAACUCUGGUGGAGGCUCGUAGCGGUUCUGACGUGCAAAUCGAUCGUCAAAUUUGGG
This 813-nucleotide ribosomal RNA is filed under the name Nitzschia cf. vitrea. RNAcentral's name for it is "LSU rRNA". It matches the Rfam family "Eukaryotic large subunit ribosomal RNA", at positions 31 to 915 of the family's 3401-position model. The record is from RNAcentral. Lineage: Eukaryota; Bacillariophyta; Bacillariophyceae; Bacillariales; Bacillariaceae.